AGUGAACGCUGGCGGUAGGCCUAACACAUGCAAGUCGAACGGCAGCACAGUAAGAGCUUGCUCUUACGGGUGGCGAGUGGCGGACGGGUGAGGAAUACAUCGGAAUCUACUUUUUCGUGGGGGAUAAUGUAGGGAAACUUACGCUAAUACCGCAUACGACCUACGGGUGAAAGCAGGGGAUCUUCGGACCUUGCGCGAUUGAAUGAGCCGAUGUCGGAUUAGCUAGUUGGCGGGGUAAAGGCCCACCAAGGCGACGAUCCGUAGCUGGUCUGAGAGGAUGGUCAGCCACACUGGAACUGAGACACGGUCCAGACUCCUACGGGAGGCGGCAGUGGGGAAUAUUGGACAAUGGGCGCAAGCCUGAUCCAGCCAUACCGCGUGGGUGAAGAAGGCCUUCGGGUUGUAAAGCCCUUUUGUUGGGAAAGAAAAGCAGCAGGUUAAUACCCCGCUGUUCUGACGGUACCCAAAGAAUAAGCACCGGCUAACUUCGUG
This 492-nucleotide ribosomal RNA is filed under the name uncultured bacterium. Its description in RNAcentral is "partial 16S ribosomal RNA". It matches the Rfam family "Bacterial small subunit ribosomal RNA", at positions 29 to 507 of the family's 1533-position model. The record is from RNAcentral.